CAUCACCCCCCCCCCCCCGACACACACACACACACACACACACACACAGUGUCUGAUAUGAAAGGGUUGUAUUUCCUGCUUUAACUCAGUGUUUUUCCGGCAGUGGAAAAAAAAAUAGCAAUACACAUUCUUUGUCUUAGAAAGCCACAUAUUGUUGUGGUGUUUGAGGUGUUAUUAUGGUUGUCACUACAUUAUUUUUUUUUUUUUGUUUUUUUUUUUUAACAGUUAUAGCCAUUUGAAGUGAAGCUUUCUCAAUGCCAGCCUUUCUCUCUCCCUAAAAGCACAAGAUGAAGAAUCUUGCCUGUGUCUUGGUGUGCUUGGCCUGUUGUUUUGUUGUCAGUUCAUAUGUCUGUCAUAAAAUAGAUUAAAAAAAAAAAAGAAAAAGAAACACCAACUGGCUAUACAACUCAAACCCUAUUAUGAAAAUGGGUUCCAGCAACGGUUGCCAGUGAAGCAGCUGAACUCGGAGGGAUUUGGGUUUCUUCUUCCCUUCCUUCUCUUUGCCUUCACAGCAGCAGUGUGCUUGUCUGUUUGCAUUCUUUUUGUCACUUAAUUGUCUGUCCUUGCCUGGCCUGCUAAUCCACUGUGUUUCUCCCAAUGGCGGCAAUUAAUAAUGUCUGUUAGUUUUUUUCCCCUCUCUCUUAUCUGCCUCUCUUGAGGGUCACACUUUAGUUCACUGCGCUUGUAACCAUUUUCAUGUGAAGAAGUUCUUUUUUCUUUACCAACACUCCUUCUUUCUCUUACUCUUCUCUCUCUCACUCCGGUUUCUCUCUCCCUGUGUCACUGUCUUUCUUUCUCCUUCCCUGAAAGACGCCUCUGUUGGUUUGAUUCUACUCUGGCCUCCAGACGUAAUUAGGCAGCGUGUUGCUGCAGUGUUAAGCAAAGUGUGACUUCUGUGGGUUAUCUCCAUUAGGUUAUCUGCACAGGCUUUGACUCUGUUGCCUGUUAACCCUAAAUGCACAGCCUGUUGCUGAUGUAAAUGCACAGCCUGUUGGUGAUGUAGAAAGGGCAGCUGUUAAGGGUUAAUGCCAUCAUGCUUGAGUCAAGUGUGUAUGACAAUCGAAGCAGUCUAACGGCUUGGAUGUCAAAACUAGACAUUUUCCUCUUAGAGGGUACCCAGUAAUGGGCUGAAAUUAAAGUUCAAGGUUUAGAGACCAGACAUUCUCCAUUAUCCUUUCCCAUGUCCCCCUGUCUAGAUGUGAAGCCAAAAAUGCAGCCCCAAAAAAAACUCAAUAGGGGGAAGAACGCAGUGCAGAGGCAGCGGGGUUGUCCAACACCAUAUACUGGUCUAGUGCCCGAGGGGACGCGGGUUCGAGUCCGGCCUGAGGUCAUCUCCCAAGUCCCCUCCCCAUCUCUCUCCCACCCACUUCCUGUCUACUCUCCCACUCACUUCCUGUCCACUCUCCACUGUCCUAUCGAUAAUAAAAAAAAAACACUAGAAUGGCCCCACAAAAACAAAAAAAAAACCUCAAUCUAGCCGGGCCUAUUUUUAGCUAGCAGGACCCCAUUUCCUCGCGCAUAUUGACAAAUCCUCAUUAGCCCCUGCCAAAGCAAUCGAGUGAAGGCCCCAUUGUUGGUUUUGUUGGUGAGCAGGCUUACGCUUUGACGCGAUCUACAUCUCCACUCCUCCUUUGUUUUGCGAGGUGUAAAGGCUAAUCAAAGCACGUCUUGCGGUGUGUGCGCUUCAGCCCAGAGGUGUGUUGUUGGCACAGAAACGGGUCUUAACGCCAUCGCCAGGAGGAGAAAUGGUCAAAGACAUUUGGAGAAAGAAGAUGGCAGGAGAAGGAGGGGAAAAGAGAAUUAUGCAAAUGUGCCCUCUACCAGAGAUAUAUUUGGUUUUCUUAUUAGCGUGACUCAACUGUGGUUUUUUUUGUCUCUGGGCCCAGCGACAGAACACUGGGUGACUGUCAAAAAGAGGGAGCGUGUCGUUUGGCUUCGGAGCCGUAAACAUCCUCAGUGCCGAUAAAGCACAGGUUUCCUCGGAUUUUGCAAACAAAAAUAAAAUGAAUU
This is a long non-coding RNA of Clupea harengus (Atlantic herring), 2010 nucleotides long. The record is from Ensembl. Lineage: Eukaryota; Metazoa; Chordata; Actinopteri; Clupeiformes; Clupeidae.